Molecule: ribosomal RNA, 430 nt
Filed under: uncultured bacterium
Lineage: Bacteria
Description: bacterial SSU rRNA
Rfam family: Bacterial small subunit ribosomal RNA
Source: RNAcentral
AACGAACGCUGGCGGCAGGCUUAACACAUGCAAGUCGAGCGCCCCGCAAGGGGAGCGGCAGACGGGUGAGUAACGCGUGGGAAUCUACCCAGCUCUACGGAAUAACCCAGGGAAACUUGGACUAAUACCGUAUACGUCCUUCGGGAGAAAGAUUUAUCGGAGUUGGAUGAGCCCGCGUUGGAUUAGCUAGUUGGUGGGGUAAUGGCCUACCAAGGCGACGAUCCAUAGCUGGUCUGAGAGGAUGAUCAGCCACACUGGGACUGAGACACGGCCCAGACUCCUACGGGAGGCAGCAGUGGGAAUAUUGGACAAUGGGCGCAAGCCUGAUCCAGCCAUGCCGCGUGAGUGACGAAGGCCCUAGGGUUGUAAAGCUCUUUCACCGGUGAAGAUAAUGACGGUAACCGGAGAAGAAGCCCCGGCUAACUUCGUG